RNAcentral lists this ribosomal RNA (1576 nucleotides) under Penicillium georgiense. Its description in RNAcentral is "eukaryotic LSU rRNA". Lineage: Eukaryota; Fungi; Ascomycota; Eurotiomycetes; Eurotiales; Aspergillaceae. The record is from RNAcentral.
GCCAGUCUGCUGGAUUGGAUGAUUCCUUCCGCAGGUGUACACUUACCGAAGCCUUUGCAGCCACGCAAGUGGCAGGCCCGGCGACUCUAAAGAAACUCGGUGCCGCUGCAAGUCGGUCCGCCCGCUGGGGGGGUUGGGCCGGCGACACUUUCGAAUUGACGGGGACACCCUAAAGCCGAUCGCACCAACCCGCGGCGGGAAACCGCCCGGGGGCCCGUGGUAACGACACGGGGGACGGUAACAGACGAUCCGGAUAGUUCUGCGCCCGCGCAGAGAGGAUGGGCAAUCCGCAGCGAAGCCUCUACGUCCCCUCCGGGGGAUACGAGGAACGUCCACAGACUAAGUGGAAGUGGGUAGGGCGGCCGGUGCCGCCCUGCUUAAGAUAUAGUCGGGCCCCCCGGGAGACCGGGGGGGCGAGUACACUGCCUCUCGCCUGAGAAACCGUUCCGUAGGUGAACCUGCGGAAGGAUCAUUAAUGAGUGCAGGCCCUCUGGGUCUAACCUCCCACCCGUGUCUAUUGUACCUUGUUGCUUCGGUGGGCCCGCCUGACCCCAGGUCGCCAGGGGGCACUCCCCGGGCGCGCGCCCGCCGAAGACACCCUGGAACUCUGUCUGUGAGUGUUGUCUGAGUAGGAUUUGAAUCAGUUAAAACUUUCAACAACGGAUCUCUUGGUUCCGGCAUCGAUGAAGAACGCAGCGAAAUGCGAUMAGUAAUGUGAAUUGCARAAUUUCMUGAAUCAUCRAGUCUUUGAACGCACAUUGCGCCCCCUGGUAUUCCGGGGGGCAUGCCUGUCCGAGCGKCAUUGCACCCCUCAAGCCCGGCUUGUCCUUGGGUUGUGUCCCUCCGUCCCGGGGGGACAGGCCUCAAAUGCAAUGGCGGCACCGCGUCCGGUCCUCGAGCGUAUGGGGCUUUGUCACCCGCUUUGUAGGCCGGCCGGUCGCUUGCCCCUUCAAGCACCAACUUCUUAUGUUGACCUCGGAUCAGGUAGGGAUACCCGCUGAACUUAAGCAUAUCAAUAAGCGGAGGAAAAGAAACCAACAGGGAUUGCCUCAGUAACGGCGAGUGAAGCGGCAAGAGCUCAAAUUUGAAAGCUGGCUCCUUCGGGGUCCGCAUUGUAAUUUGCAGAGGAUGCUUCGGGAGCGGCCCCCAUCUAAGUGCCCUGGAACGGGCUGUCAUAGAGGGUGAGAAUCCCGUCUGGGAUGGGGUGCCCGCGCCCGUGUGAAGCUCCUUCGACGAGUCGAGUUGUUUGGGAAUGCAGCUCUAAAUGGGUGGUAAAUUUCAUCUAAAGCUAAAUAUUGGCCGGAGACCGAUAGCGCACAAGUAGAGUGAUCGAAAGAUGAAAAGCACUUUGAAAAGAGAGUUAAACAGCACGUGAAAUUGUUGAAAGGGAAGCGCUUGCGACCAGACUCGCUCGCGGGGUUCAGCCGGCUCUCGGGCCUGGUGUACUUCCCCGUGGGCGGGCCAGCGUCGGUUUGGGCGGUCGGUCAAAGGCCCUUGGAAUGUAACGCCCCUCGGGGCGUCUUAUAGCCAAGGGUGCCAUGCGGCCAGCCCGGACCGAGGAACGCGCUUCGGCACG